AAUCCGUCGACUUUUAAAAUCGUGAGGGUUCAAGUCCCUCUAUCCCCAAAAAG
This 53-nucleotide transfer RNA is filed under the name Parietaria judaica. RNAcentral's name for it is "partial tRNA-Leu". Lineage: Eukaryota; Viridiplantae; Streptophyta; Magnoliopsida; Rosales; Urticaceae. RNAcentral also lists the same sequence under 7 other names. The record is from RNAcentral.